This 435-nucleotide ribosomal RNA is filed under the name uncultured bacterium. RNAcentral's name for it is "partial 16S ribosomal RNA". It matches the Rfam family "Bacterial small subunit ribosomal RNA", at positions 29 to 507 of the family's 1533-position model. The record is from RNAcentral.
AGCGAACGCUGGCGGCAGGCUUAACACAUGCAAGUCGAGCGGGCACUUUCGGGUGUCAGCGGCGGACGGGUGAGUAACACGUGGGAACGUGCCCUCUGGUUCGGAAUAACUCAGGGAAACUUGAGCUAAUACCGGAUACGCCCUUUUGGGGAAAGGCUUGCUGCCGGAGGAUCGGCCCGCGUCUGAUUAGCUAGUUGGUGAGGUAACGGCUCACCAAGGCGACGAUCAGUAGCUGGUCUGAGAGGAUGAUCAGCCACACUGGGACUGAGACACGGCCCAGACUCCUACGGGAGGCAGCAGUGGGGAAUAUUGGACAAUGGGCGCAAGCCUGAUCCAGCCAUGCCGCGUGAGUGAUGAAGGCCUUAGGGUUGUAAAGCUCUUUUAUCCGGGACGAUAAUGACGGUACCGGAGGAAUAAGCCCCGGCUAACUUCGUG